UUCUGGCUCAGGAUGAACGCUGGCGGCGUGCCUAACACAUGCAAGUCGAACGAAGCGAUUUGCCGGAGAUCGUUGAAGGGAGAUACGACUAGUGGCGGACGGGUGAGUAAUGCGUGAGCAACCUGCCUUUCAGAGGGGGACAACAGUUGGAAACGACUGCUAAUACCGCAUAAUGUACAUUAGAGGCAUCUUUGAUGUACCAAAGGAGCAAUCCGCUGAAAGAUGGGCUCACGUCUGAUUAGCUUGUUGGCGGGGCAACGGCCCACCAAGGCGACGAUCAGUAGCCGGACUGAGAGGUUGAACGGCCACAUUGGGACUGAGAUACGGCCCAGACUCCUACGGGAGGCAGCAGUGGGGAAUAUUGGGCAAUGGGCGAAAGCCUGACCCAAGCAACGCCGCGUGAAGGAAGAAGGUCUUCGGAUUGUAAACUUCUUUUAUGAGGGACGAAGGACGUGACGGUACCUCAUGAAUAAGCCACGGCUAACUACGUGCCAGCAGCAGC
Molecule: ribosomal RNA, 502 nt
Filed under: uncultured bacterium
Lineage: Bacteria
Description: bacterial SSU rRNA
Rfam family: Bacterial small subunit ribosomal RNA
Source: RNAcentral